GCACCCCCGCCCCGAUGAAUCACCGAACUCGGCAUUUACACGCCCGCCAGACCGCGAGACCGGGCUGCCAGCCCAAGGCCAGGACGUGCCGUGCCCAGAGCUGGGGUCUGGCCGGCGGAGGAUCCUGUGGCUGGGCCCGGCUCCGCUCCGUCACCCCAGGAAAUGGAAAUGUCCCUAAAAUGUUCGCUUUACAGCUGCUUUGACUUUUUUGUUCGUGCUUAAAAUAGCCUGAAGCAAGGCCUCUCCGGCUGGCCGCUGCCGAGGUUAGAGACGCUUGGCUGGGGCCCCGGAGGCCGGCGGGAGGCCAGGCUCAGCCGGAAAGCGCUUCUCCUCUUUCUGUGACUUGGGGCUGCCGUGCUCGCCUUCUGAAAGUCAGGUGACUAACAGGCUCGAUCAUGAAGUUGCGCUGCUGUCACGGUCUGGAGGGCCGUGUGUGAGCCGGGCCCGUUCCCCUCACCACCUGCACACCAGUUAACCCAGACUGGGGGCUGAACCCACAAACCCAGGGUCCCGGGCCAGGAAUUGGCUGUGAGCCUUCCCGGCUUGCUGCUGUCCCCACACAGCCCCCGGGGCCUAGCCUCCCGCUGCGCUUCCCUCCACCGGUGGUGAGACUGAGGCUGGGAAGUACGGUGGUUUGCCCGAGGUCACUCUGGAGCUGAGGGUGACAUCCGGAGAGCCCCAUGCUCCCCCCAUCAGGCCCAGACUGCCAUGCUUGUGAACCGCCUCUCUGGCGGGCUGCCACGUCUCCAAGUCACGCCCAAAAGGGGAGACCAGGCUGCCUCCAGCGUCCUCUGUGUCCCCUGCCACCCUCAGGGCCCACUUUUCCCGAGGCCGGUGUCCGGGCCCAGAGCGGCCUUCCUGUCUGCCUGAACGUGGACAAGACCGCGUGUGGGCCUCGGGGUGGUGCCCCUGAGGCUGCUCGAAACUGGCCAGUACGGGAAGGUGCAGGCAACAGGCUGCCUCCCCGGGCCUGCGGGGAUGAGCACUGACACUGGUGUAGAGGAACUUCGUCAUUGCUGUGGGCCGAGAGCAGGAGUCGCUCCGCUGAUUCUACAAGAAAAGCCGCCACGUGGGGGCUGCUGACCCCAGUGACCCCUGGGGGGGCGGGGAGGGCCUCCCCAGCAAGGGUGCAGCCUGGCCACCUGCCCACCCCCCGCAGAGCCAGGGUCCGUCUCUGCACGCGGUGGAGACCCCACAACGGCCCACCCCAGCCUCGCCAUUGGCUUCCCAGUCGGCCCCGGCGGUGUGUCCGUCAUCUGCCACCCGGGGUGGCCCCCUCCCGAGUCCUCACUGAGGCCCUGCUGGAGUGUCCAGGUGGAGGAAGAGGGGGCACAGGGAGCCCAGGUACCGCUGAGGGUUCUUGGUGAUUCUGGAAACUACUUGUCCUGUCCGCACAAAGGGCGAGCGCCUGGCUGGGGACGUGUCCCUCAGAGGGUCUACCGCAGGCAGGCCCCAGACCAUCUGGUGGCCACUUGCUUGUCCUGAUCCAAGGACACGGCAGCGUUUUCUGCCUGUGUCAUUUUAUGCAGAUAACUUGGCCUUGUCAACACCCUGUUUCUGCCUACAGAGAGGAGCUAAGAGCCCUCCCAGAGGGGCAGGCCUUGCACACUCACACACGCAUCUCCCUGCAGGCCCAACAGAGACCAACAACCACUCUUUAAUUUCCUCCAGAGUGCAGCGGCUGGCUCCCCGGCAGGGCCCCAAGGACAGGGGAGGAUUGCCCAGCGCUUCCAGAGACAGUGACCGCAGGGUCCAGACUGCGAGGCCAGCCAGGACGGCUCAACUGUCGGGAACGGCGAUGGAGCCCAUGGAUGGGGGACAUCGAAGGCACGGAAGGUCAGCCUUGAGGUGCCACUUUUGUCCAGUGAAAUCCAUCUGUGUUGAAUGGGCCGCUCCAUGGGUUCUGACGACUGUAGGCGCCGUGGAACCCACCUGCCCUCCCGCACUGGUCCUCCCCUGCCGGCGGGGGGGGGGGGGGUGGUGGCUGCCCCUGUCCCUGUAGGGCACUGUUGCUGUUCCUUGCACGUCGAAGGCAUGGAAUCGCGUGGUACCUGCUCUUUGCGUCUGGCUUUCGUUCACCGUGGAGUUUCUGAGACUGGGCCCGGCUGUUGGCCCUGCCGUGUGGUACCCUCAUGCGCUCUCUGUCCUCAUGACGGACGUCGGCGUCAAGAGAGUGUGACUUUAAAAUUUUGAUAAACUGCAACUUAAUCCCCCCUUUUUUCACUGCAGGUAGUGGUUUUGGGGUCGUCCUCUCUGAGAAGUCUGUUCCUGCUCCAAGGUCUCAAAAACAGUCUCCCGUGUUUCUGUAAAUAUAGCUUUCGCUUUUGGCUGUGGGUUUGUGAGCCGUUUUUAGUUAACUUAGGUGCUGUGUGUGUGUGUGUGUGUGUGUGUGUGUGUGUGUGUCAGGGUCAGUCGGGGUUGGCUUCGCGCUGCACGGAAAUCCCGUGGCUCCCAGCACUGGUCGUUGAAAAGACGAUUCUCUCCCCCGAAUUGCCGUCUUUGUCUAAACCACUGGACCGCGCCAGUGCGGGUCUGCUUUUGGGUUCUCCCUUCUCUUCCCCAGCCAGCAUGCCCACCCGUAGGCCCAUAAAGCACUAUCUCAAUGACGACGGCUCUCUAAGCCUGCAAAUCAGGCAGUGUGAGGACCUCAGCUUUGUUCUUCUUCUUUGAAACUUUUGGUGGUUCUAGGUACUUUGCACUUCCAUAUAUAUUUCAGAAUGAACCUGUAGUUUCUAAAACAAAAAAGCCAAAGCCAGCUGAGAGCAUUAAAGCUCCACGGAGGAGAAGACAUCCUCACACCACGGAAUCUCUCAACCCAGCAAGGCGGCGGGGUGCCCGGUUUCCACCACCCCUCCAGCUUCAGGCCUCUGCGUUCUGUGGCUUCUCUCAGAGGACUUCUCGUGCUGUUACACUUACGCAUAAACACUUUACCUUCCAAGCCGUUUAAAUGGAAAUGAUCUAAAGUUUUCUUUUCUAGUGCUCGUUUCUAAUAUCCAGCAACACAACUGAUUUCUGAAUAUUGACCCGUGUGCCAUGAACUUAGUCAAUUCAUUUAUCUGGAAGUGUUUUUUGUGGAUUUGUUAGGAUUUUCCAUGUCAGUGAUCGUGUUGCCUGAAACCAACAGGAGUUUCCCAUCAUGCUUUCCGAUCUGUGUGCAUUUUCUUUCUUGUUCUUAUUCUCUCGCGCAGACCGACCUUUCCUUAACGUCGAGUAGCAGGACUGAGGGAGACAGCCCUGCCUCGCCCACAGCUCAGGUGGCGAUAGCGGCGUCUGUCCGCACCCCGUGGUGCUCAUGCACAUUUCUCACGGCUGCGCCUCAGGAGGUUCAGGAGGGCCUCUCGAUCUUCCGUUUGCCGAGAGGUUUUCAUCACAAAUAGAUGCCAGACUUCUGUCGAGGGCUUCUUCUGAGCUCACUGACCCGACGGGCAGGAAGGGAAACAACCCGGCCUCGCGGCGCGAUGUGUCCGUCCAGCAUGGGCCGCUCCCGGAUGGAAAGCUUCCAGGAGAUCCCUCCGUGGCACCCCAAAGCACGUGACAGAGCCGGGCUCGAACCAGAGGAGCCGGGACUGCGUGUAUGGCCCGAGCUGGGCAAGGAGCGCGGCGUGUGCGGUACUCGCCGGUGGUCCUGUCACAAGAGCCACAGCGCUGGGAGCGUUCGCAUGAGAUGAGGGGCCGCUGCUCCUCCUGGGCGGACGGAGCCGGUCGACAGACCUCGGUUAUCGGGGAUGAGUGCGUGCCUGUCGUAAGGGCACUGUCAGCGGGCACCGUGUCGCCUCGACGCAGGGCCACGUGUGUUUCCCGCCGGCAUUCCGCAGGAUCUCAGCUCCCUGGGCAGCUACCAGUCUUGGCCGGCGUGAAGCGCCACAUGGGGAAGGCACCGACAAAGACUCCCCGAACGGGUAAAUGAAGGAGCAAAGGGACGAGGGAAAGGCCGGACACCGGGUAAGGCCACACCUGCUGUCGAGGACCCGCCAGGCCCGGCGUCCUGGCUGGGUCCCUGCUGCCUGUGGGGAGUUGGCCCGCUUUCUGCUCCUGAAGCUUGGUUUUCUUACCUCCCAAAGGCAGAUACAAACCUCGCAUGGCGGGCACCUGGGUGGCUCAGUGGGUUAAAGCCUCUGCCUUCGGCUCAGGUCAUGAUCCCAGGCUCCUGGGAUCGAGUCCCGCAUUGGGCUCUCUGCUCAGCGAAGAGCCUGCUUCCUCCUCUCUCUCUCUCUCUGCCUGCCUCUCUGCCUGCUUGUGAGCUCUCUCUGUCAAAUGAAUAAGUAAAAUCUUAA
Molecule: long non-coding RNA, 4274 nt
Organism: Mustela lutreola (European mink)
Lineage: Eukaryota; Metazoa; Chordata; Mammalia; Carnivora; Mustelidae
Exons: 5
Source: RefSeq, a predicted model, not a curated record